ACGAACGCUGGCGGCGUGCUUAACACAUGCAAGUCGAACGGUAAGGCCCUUCGGGGUACACGAGUGGCGAACGGGUGAGUAACACGUGGGUGAUCUGCCCUGCACUUCGGGAUAAGCCUGGGAAACUGGGUCUAAUACCGGAUAGGACCAUGGACUUCACGGUUUGUGGUGGAAAGCUUUUGCGGUGUGGGAUGGGCCCGCGGCCUAUCAGCUUGUUGGUGGGGUAAUGGCCUACCAAGGCGACGACGGGUAGCCGGCCUGAGAGGGUGUCCGGCCACACUGGGACUGAGAUACGGCCCAGACUCCUACGGGAGGCAGCAGUGGGGAAUAUUGCACAAUGGGCGCAAGCCUGAUGCAGCGACGCCGCGUGAGGGAUGACGGCCUUCGGGUUGUAAACCUCUUUCAAUAGGGACGAAGCGCAAGUGACGGUACCUAUAGAAGAAGCACCGGCCAACUACGUG
RNAcentral lists this ribosomal RNA (461 nucleotides) under uncultured bacterium. Its description in RNAcentral is "bacterial SSU rRNA". It matches the Rfam family "Bacterial small subunit ribosomal RNA", at positions 29 to 507 of the family's 1533-position model. The record is from RNAcentral.